RNAcentral lists this ribosomal RNA (253 nucleotides) under uncultured bacterium. Its description in RNAcentral is "partial 16S ribosomal RNA". It matches the Rfam family "Bacterial small subunit ribosomal RNA", at positions 524 to 776 of the family's 1533-position model. The record is from RNAcentral.
UACGUAGGUGGCAAGCGUUAUCCGGAUUUACUGGGUGUAAAGGGCGUGUAGGCGGGACUGCAAGUCAGAUGUGAAAACCACGGGCUCAACCUGUGGCCUGCAUUUGAAACUGUAGUUCUUGAGUACUGGAGAGGCAGACGGAAUUCCUAGUGUAGCGGUGAAAUGCGUAGAUAUACGGAGGAACACCAGUGGCGAAGGCGGAUUGCUGGACAGUAACUGACGCUGAGGCGCGAAAGCGUGGGGAGCAAACAGG